This is a long non-coding RNA of Melitaea cinxia (Glanville fritillary), 677 nucleotides long. RefSeq lists it as uncharacterized. The record is from RefSeq and is a predicted model, not a curated record. Lineage: Eukaryota; Metazoa; Arthropoda; Insecta; Lepidoptera; Nymphalidae. The transcript is spliced from 2 exons.
UUAAUUUUUAAACUAUGGAAGAAAAUCGAAUAUGUCUCCUGCAAUGCUAAGUAGCUGAUUUUUCCUCACGUCACUUCAGUUAGCUAUUAAACUGUGUUGAAGUUGGUGGUAUAUUUUGCGGGUCAAAAUUUUGGUGAAAAACUUCCUUUAAAACCCGAUUUGUAAUAAUCCCAGUAUGCAUAAUACUAAGCCUAAAACACAACAAAGAAAAGAAGAAUAUUAGGAUAGGCAUACCGAAAUUGUUCAGAGGAAAUGUUAGAUUUAGCGAUUGACAUGGUAGAAAGUAACAGGGUGUCAAAUCGGGAGGCAGAAAAGAGGUUCGGGAUCCCUCGAUGAACGGUAUUAAAUAAAGUUAAGAAAAUUUACUUAAAAUCACUUGGAGAACAAACCAAGCUCACUGACGAAGAGAAAGAAAAUUGGCAAACGUGUUGUUAGCUCCAGCAGAUUUAUGGCAGCCCCAUGACUAAAAUGGAUGAAAAAAUGUUAGUCUAUAAAUAUGUUGCAAAUAUCACGGACUGAUUUGUUCGAUGGAAAAUUACCCAAUGCAUGUACUUUAGACUACUGCAAAUUGUAUGAUAGUUCAAAUAUUUUUAGAUUAAUGUUUAAGAGCGAAAUAAGUCAUAGUAACAUCAAGUACUUCACCGUACUGAUUAGUAAUAAAAAAUGUGACAACCCUU